This 160-nucleotide ribosomal RNA is filed under the name uncultured bacterium. RNAcentral describes it as "partial 16S ribosomal RNA". It matches the Rfam family "Bacterial small subunit ribosomal RNA", at positions 355 to 507 of the family's 1533-position model. The record is from RNAcentral.
UGGGGAAUAUUGCACAAUGGGCGCAAGCCUGAUGCAGCCAUGCCGCGUGUGUGAAGAAGGCCUUCGGGUUGUAAAGCACUUUCAGCGGGGAGGAAGGCGGUGAGGUUAAUAACCUCAUCGAUUGACGUUACCCGCAGAAGAAGCACCGGCUAACUCCGUG